Molecule: ribosomal RNA, 713 nt
Filed under: Paraburkholderia sp.
Lineage: Bacteria; Pseudomonadati; Pseudomonadota; Betaproteobacteria; Burkholderiales; Burkholderiaceae
Description: bacterial SSU rRNA
Rfam family: Bacterial small subunit ribosomal RNA
Source: RNAcentral
ACGGGAGGCAGCAGUGGGGAAUUUUGGACAAUGGGGGCAACCCUGAUCCAGCAAUGCCGCGUGUGUGAAGAAGGCCUUCGGGUUGUAAAGCACUUUUGUCCGGAAAGAAAACCUCGGGGCCAAUACCUCUGGGGGAUGACGGUACCGGAAGAAUAAGCACCGGCUAACUACGUGCCAGCAGCCGCGGUAAUACGUAGGGUGCAAGCGUUAAUCGGAAUUACUGGGCGUAAAGCGUGCGCAGGCGGUUCGCUAAGACCGAUGUGAAAUCCCCGGGCUUAACCUGGGAACUGCAUUGGUGACUGGCGGGCUAGAGUAUGGCAGAGGGGGGUAGAAUUCCACGUGUAGCAGUGAAAUGCGUAGAGAUGUGGAGGAAUACCGAUGGCGAAGGCAGCCCCCUGGGCCAAUACUGACGCUCAUGCACGAAAGCGUGGGGAGCAAACAGGAUUAGAUACCCUGGUAGUCCACGCCCUAAACGAUGUCAACUGGUUGUCGGGUCUUCAUUGACUUGGUAACGUAGCUAACGCGUGAAGUUGACCGCCUGGGGAGUACGGUCGCAAGAUUAAAACUCAAAGGAAUUGACGGGGACCCGCACAAGCGGUGGAUGAUGUGGAUUAAUUCGAUGCAACGCGAAAAACCUUACCUACCCUUGACAUGUAUGGAACCUGGCCGAGAGGUCGGGGUGCCCGAAAGGGAGCCAUAACACAGGUGCUGCA